UUAACAUAAUUUUGUAUGGAGUAGGAACAUUUGCCUAUGUUUGCCGCUAGGGGCGCUGUUCCAACUCCAUACGAAUUUGAGUUA
Molecule: non-coding RNA, 84 nt
Organism: Bombyx mori (domestic silkworm)
Lineage: Eukaryota; Metazoa; Arthropoda; Insecta; Lepidoptera; Bombycidae
Source: Rfam